GUAAGUCCAGCGGGAGCGCAAUGCUAUGUGGAUAUUUCAUCAGAGAGGAACAACUUCUGCAUGUCUCCUGUGUUUCAGGUGUCGUGCCAAAAGUAGUUACCCCCGGCAAAAACCGUUCCCCAAUCCAUGAGAGCGCGCAAAGGAGGAGGAGCCACUUGCCCUCGUUUCUGUACGCUACUUGUCACUGAUCUGCAAUCGCUGUUGUAAAGCGUAAAAACUGGAAAACAACAGGCUCGAUUCGUGAAUGGAUUUUAAUACUAACUUCGUGACAUUGUAAUGUGCCGUGCGGAAGACUAUUGAAAUAACCUGCUGGGAAUAGUUUGUCCAGACAAAGACGUUGAUACUAUGGUUUACACUUCUGUAAUGCACAUUAGCGGUGCUAUCACGAAGAAGUUUAUUUGCAAAAUAAAUCAGAGAAUAACCAAUAACCACAUUAACAUUGGAGAGGAUUUCUUCCUCCCAGCAAAAGUUAUGGAGGGGUACAGAUUUUAUCAGGCUGUAUGGCAGCGUCUGCCAAAAUUUGUGCCCCCCCAUCUAUAAUGCACGUUAGCAGAGUUUUUCUUUGAAAAUAACUAAAAAUUAAAACAACAGAUAAAUAUACACGUCUUUGUCAGUAACAGCGUUUUCCAAAAAUUUGCAAGUCAGUUUUGGCCAACCUUUCGUGGGCCUAUUCGACUCCAACAUUGACACAUUUUUCCAAAAUCUUAGGUCACGUGGGUUUUCCUCGUCAAUUAUGCAAAUUAGUUGACGUUGUGCGCACGAACUGAGUGCCGCUGAGCUAACGAGAAGAUUACAAUUUGUUUUCGAAAAAUAACCAACACCACAAGAGGAUGGAACCAGACGAGUACAAGAGUUUGGUUGCAUAUAAACUAAAAGGCGAGUAUCCAGCGCUUUUCACGAAAAAAGAGAAAUUUCUUCUCCGAAGAAAACCUGCUAUUUACGACAUUUAAAGGUAGUAACAGCAACUUCGUAGCGUUUAUAAAUGUCAUCAAUACAUAUAUUAACACACACACACACACACACACACAAUGGCAAAAUGUGUAGUCUUAAUUUGCACUUACAGAUUUAAUUAGCUUGACCUUUCUUUGACCUAAACAAAAACAAGAGAAGCCAUUUCAAAGCGUUUCUACUGGCCAGGGAUGUCAUUGGACAUCAAUAAUUGGGUGGGUACUCAAAACAAACUCUGUAAUUCUACUACAGCUAACUUAUUUUAAGAUGAACACAGCAAUGUUUCUGUAUCUCUCAAAUUAAUUUAUGUAAACCCUGAUCAUCAGCUGUUGUGUUUCUUUGUGGAUUGCUUUUGUUUUUGAUUAGGUUUCCCAGUGCGCAGUUUGCCAGGCAAGUGCUGCAACAAUUAAAAAACCAGCGGAAUACAUUCCGAUAAAGGUUUCUCAGCCAUUUUAAUUGGGUGGGAUUGACAUUAUUGGGAAUCUUACUGAAACCAACAGCAGACAUCAGUAUAUUUGUGUUUUUAUUGACUAUUUCACAAAGUGGCCACAAGCCAUACCCUUUGAGGUCGAAAUCAGCCAAGGAAGUGACAAACUGUCUCAUAAAAUUUGUCCACCAGUUCGGAGCACCGAAAGGGGUUCUUAGUGACCAAGGCAAAGAAUUUGUCAAUUCUCUCAACAAAAUGGUAUGCAGAUUGUUAAAAGAAGGCUUGGUGGAGAGAAUGAAUGGCACCAUCCAGAGAGCCCCUCUGUAAGGUUGUUGGUGACCAUCCAGAAACGUGGGAUGAGUAUCUGGAUGAUGUGAUGUUUGGACUCAGAACUAAAAAGCAAAUGACCACCUAAUACUCACCCUAUUACCUGAUGUUUGGCAGAGAGGCUCGUUAUCCAUCCGAAAUCCCACAAGAGUACAUGGUUGACGAGAGUGUGGAAGUGGGGCUGGAAGAGCUGUCGCAAGACAUUCGAAAGCAUCAAAAGCUGUUGGAACUGCUGAAGGACAAUGUGGUCAAAGCACAGGAAAAACCAAAGGGCAAAAUUAAAAUGAUGAAGAGAGAUGUUGUCUUCAAAGUUGGUGACAAAGUUUUAACUGCUAACAUAAGAAGCCAGCAGAGGAAAGGGGGGAAAAUUGAAGCAAACGUUUUAGGCCCUUACAUCAUUACAGCAAUCCAAGGUAAAAGUGUGGAUCUUCAGGAUUCCAAUGGGACAAUCAUUCCAAAAGUACAUGUAGACCAACUAAAGUUAGCAAAGACAGUAUGCCAAGAGUGCCACAUCGGGGUUUAAAGGAAACAGCAGCCACAUUACUAAAAGCACAACCAGGUCCAGCAGCACCACAAGCUGCAGCAGCACCAGCAUCUGCUCUAGCUCCAAAGACUACAGCA
Oreochromis niloticus (Nile tilapia) is the source of this 2323-nucleotide long non-coding RNA. RefSeq lists it as uncharacterized. The transcript has 5 exons. NCBI's taxonomy places the organism in Eukaryota, Metazoa, Chordata, Actinopteri, Cichliformes, Cichlidae. The record is from RefSeq and is a predicted model, not a curated record.